Molecule: ribosomal RNA, 232 nt
Filed under: uncultured bacterium
Lineage: Bacteria
Description: partial 16S ribosomal RNA
Rfam family: Bacterial small subunit ribosomal RNA
Source: RNAcentral
CGGACGGGUGAGUAAUGCCUGGGAAUAUGCCUUGAUGUGGGGGAUAACUAUUGGAAACGAUAGCUAAUACCGCAUAAUGCCUACGGGCCAAAGAGGGGGACCUUCGGGCCUCUCGCGUCAAGAUUAGCCCAGGUGGGAUUAGCUGGUUGGUGGGGUAACGGCUCACCAAGGCGACGAUCCCUAGCUGGUCUGAGAGGAUGAUCAGCCACACUGGAACUGAGACACGGUCCAG